This is a long non-coding RNA of Chinchilla lanigera (long-tailed chinchilla), 373 nucleotides long. RefSeq lists it as uncharacterized. The transcript is spliced from 3 exons. The record is from RefSeq and is a predicted model, not a curated record. NCBI's taxonomy places the organism in Eukaryota, Metazoa, Chordata, Mammalia, Rodentia, Chinchillidae.
CUGAUGUAGCAGAACACUGUGCUUAAAGCACAACGAUGAAUUAUCCCACAAUUCUGGAGGCCAGAGGUCAAAGAUCAAGGUCUUAACAGGGUUGGAGUUGGCUGAGAAGAAAUCUCAGGUCCUGCGAGGUUAAGUGACUUGCUCAGAAAGGACUUCCUAAACAUCAGGAUUUCAAAACACCAGUGCGAUUAUCAGAGGGGACUGUCUUUAUGAAGACAUCAGUGGAAUAGGUUCAACUUGGAAGUUUGAGAGUCUCUGAGUGCGUGCUGAGCGGCACACCACGCUGCGCUAGAUCUCUGAUGAGCCGGCACUUGAUUCUCAGCUAAAUAUCCCUGUUGGAGGGGUGGUUUCCAAUUUUAAGUUAUUUGUAAUU